Molecule: non-coding RNA, 225 nt
Organism: Pelodiscus sinensis (Chinese soft-shelled turtle)
Lineage: Eukaryota; Metazoa; Chordata; Testudines; Trionychidae
Source: RefSeq, a predicted model, not a curated record
CAGCACAUGCACAGAGUACCUUGUGCCCCUGGCGGCUGGGGCUGGGCUGCUGCUGUUGUCGGUGUCUCUGAGCCUCGUCUGGACCCUCUGCCCUUGCACGCUAGGAUGCCGGCCCCGGAUCUCAGCGCCUCCAGCUUCCCGGGAGCCCCAGGCUGGAAUCGUCUACGCUCAUCUGGAUUUCGAUUCGCGGAAUCACGGCGGGCGCACGCUGCAGCAACCAGCCAG